CACGUAGGGCGCAAGCGUUGUCCGGAAUUAUUGGGCGUAAAGAGCUCGUAGGCGGUCUGUUGCGUCCGCUGUGAAAACCCGGGGCUUAACCCUGGGCUGGCAGUGGAUACGGACAGACUAGAGGUAGGUAGGGGAGAAUGGAAUUCCCGGUGUAGCGGUGAAAUGCGCAGAUAUCGGGAGGAACACCGGUGGCGAAGGCGGUUCUCUGGGCCUUACCUGACGCUGAGGAGCGGAAGCGUGGGGAGCGAACAGG
Molecule: ribosomal RNA, 253 nt
Filed under: uncultured bacterium
Lineage: Bacteria
Description: partial 16S ribosomal RNA
Rfam family: Bacterial small subunit ribosomal RNA
Source: RNAcentral